Molecule: ribosomal RNA, 517 nt
Filed under: uncultured bacterium
Lineage: Bacteria
Description: partial 16S ribosomal RNA
Rfam family: Bacterial small subunit ribosomal RNA
Source: RNAcentral
AACGAACGCUGGCGGCGUGGAUAAGACAUGCAAGUCGAACGGGAUUUUUUUCUGUAGCAAUACAGGAAAAAGUCUAGUGGCGAACGGGUGCGUAACACGUGAGCAACCUGCCGUGAAGUGGGGGAUAGCUCGCCGAAAGGCGAAUUAAUACCGCAUGUGGCCAAGGAAGACAUCUGCCUGACGCCAAAGCCGGGGAAACCUGGCGCUCCUCGAGUGGCUGGCGGCCUAUCAGCUUGUUGGUGAGGUAACGGCUCACCAAGGCUAUGACGGGUAGCUGGUCUGAGAGGACGACCAGCCACACUGGAACUGAGACACGGUCCAGACACCUACGGGUGGCAGCAGUCGAGAAUUUUUCACAAUGGGGGAAACCCUGAUGGAGCGACGCCGCGUGGAGGAUGAAGGUUUUCGGAUUGUAAACUCCUGUCAUUAGAGAACAAGGCACACGGUUUAACUGGCCGUGUGUUGAUAGUAUCUGAAGAGGAAGAGACGGCUAACUCUGUGCCAGCCGCCGCCGUAA